UUUAAUAUACUCAAAAACAUUUAAUUCAUCUAAAAUAAAUUAAAAUCAACAUACUAUUGGGUUAUGUUAUAAAUCAAUUUACAUUAUACAAUUCAUUAUAUGUGAAAUUAAUUCUUAUUAGUAAGUGGAAUAAAUCUGUCAUUAUGCAUGACUAAAGAUUAUGGCAUAAAGGUUUAUAACAUGUUUUAUUCCCCUGGUGUUGUAUUUUCCUUACUGAGUUGUCGAACUCACCCCUUUUUCCUCCACCCCUUUCCAGAUGACAACAGUAAGACAGAGUCUUUUCUUGUAAAGGCGUAGACCUCAUUGAGAGCGAUAGUUCGUGAUGAACCGGCCAAACCCUAGUUGCAUAGGAUUCCGCUAUUCAGAAGUGCUUCCAGAAGAUUCUACACAGUUUGCAAGGUAGAAAACUCGGUUCCUUGUCAGCCGUCCAAACGACGUGUCAUACUGUCCGGACACCCAUCUGUCCAAAGUGCCAGCCAUCCGGACGAUGUAUCAUACCGUCUAGACUCCCAGCUGUCCCAAGCAUCAUCCUUCCGGACGACGAGAACUUUCCAUCCGGACCUUCCCCUGUGUCGAGAAGUUUCGAAUUGCUCUAGUUUGCAUCCGUCUGGACGUUUCAGCAGCACUUUCGGACGACUCUCAGCGUUCGACAAAGCUUCAAAAUUUCUUUGCAAAGCACAGUUAUGGGAAGAUCGCUACAACCGUCCGGACGACGUGGAUUCCCGUCCGAACGCGCUCAUCCAUAAGGCAAGUAUUGCAAUUCAAAUCCAGACAUCUGGACGACUGUCCUCAUGGUCCGAAUGCGCAUGCAUCAGAUAUGAAAAUUGCGUGCAUCAAAUCAACUGUCCGAACGAUCAUCCCCCUGGUCUAGACGCGCGAAGCCUUUAUAUGGAAAUUACUUGCAGCAGAAGUGUGACUGUCCGGACGACAGGGCACCACCGUCAGGACGCGGCUCAAAAAAAGGAAAGAAUUUCAACGAAAUUCUCGGACAAUUGAUUGAACAGUUGUCCAUCUGGACGGCCCAUGACUGCCGUCCGGACGGCGCCAAGUUUUUAUCAAGCCAGACGUUCAUUUGAACCGUCAGCCUAUAAAUAGAGGUCCCUAGGCUUGAGAACAGCAAGAAUUUGGUAUUGAAUUCCAUUAGUGCUUAGAGAGCUAUAUUGUGAGAUUAUUGAGCUGAGUUGAUCACUCUGAAGCCAUUGCUGUGUGUACUGUUGUUGCGCUUAAUCUGAAGUCUAUCUUAGGGGUUGACCCUAAGUAAAGGAUUCCAUUGAAGACCCCUUUAGGUAGGAGACCUGAUUGGGAGGCGUUCAUGUUGGGUUACACGUUAGAGUGUAAGGUACAACCACUGCAUCAGGGGUAUGUGAGUGCUACUACUUUGUAACUAGUCUUGUCUUCUGAAUAGUGGAUAUCCUGGGUUUGGCUGCCCCGUAAUGGUUUUUCUCAUAUUGAGUUUUCCACUUCGUUAACAAAAA
Alnus glutinosa is the source of this 1475-nucleotide long non-coding RNA. RefSeq lists it as uncharacterized. NCBI's taxonomy places the organism in Eukaryota, Viridiplantae, Streptophyta, Magnoliopsida, Fagales, Betulaceae. The record is from RefSeq and is a predicted model, not a curated record. The transcript has 2 exons.